This 201-nucleotide ribosomal RNA is filed under the name uncultured bacterium. Its description in RNAcentral is "partial 16S ribosomal RNA". It matches the Rfam family "Bacterial small subunit ribosomal RNA", at positions 524 to 724 of the family's 1533-position model. The record is from RNAcentral.
UACGUAGGUGGCAAGCGUUGUCCGGAAUUAUUGGGCGUAAAGCGCGCGCAGGCGGCCUUUUAAGUCUGAUGUGAAAGCCCACGGCUCAACCGUGGAAGGUCAUUGGAAACUGAAAGGCUUGAGUACAGAAGAGGAAAGCGGAAUUCCACGUGUAGCGGUGAAAUGCGUAGAGAUGUGGAGGAACACCAGUGGCGAAGGCGG